RNAcentral lists this ribosomal RNA (460 nucleotides) under uncultured bacterium. RNAcentral's name for it is "partial 16S ribosomal RNA". It matches the Rfam family "Bacterial small subunit ribosomal RNA", at positions 338 to 795 of the family's 1533-position model. The record is from RNAcentral.
CCUACGGGAGGCAGCAGUGAGGAAUAUUGGUCAAUGGGCGGGAGCCUGAACCAGCCAAGUCGCGUGAGGGAAGACGGUCCUAUGGAUUGUAAACCUCUUUAGGCGGGGAGCAAUGCCGGGCACGCGUGCCCGGAGGGAGAGUACCCGCAGAAUAAGCAUCGGCUAACUCCGUGCCAGAAGCCGCGGUAAUACGGAGGAUGCGAGCGUUAUCCGGAUUUAUGGGGUUUAAAGGGUGCGUAGGCGGAUUUUUAAGUCAGCGGUAAAAUGUCCGGGCUCAACCCGGGCCGGCCGUUGAAACGGGGGAUCUUGAGUGGGCGAGAAGUAUGCGGAAUGCGUGGUGUAGCGGUGAAAUGCAUAGAUAGCACGCAGAACUCCGAUUGCGAAGGCAGCAUACCGGCGCCCGACUGACGCUGAGGCACGAAAGCGUGGGGAUCGAACAGGAUUAGAUACCCUGGUAGUC